RNAcentral lists this ribosomal RNA (454 nucleotides) under Streptococcus sp. oral taxon 431. RNAcentral's name for it is "bacterial SSU rRNA". It matches the Rfam family "Bacterial small subunit ribosomal RNA", at positions 28 to 468 of the family's 1533-position model. The record is from RNAcentral. Lineage: Bacteria; Bacillati; Bacillota; Bacilli; Lactobacillales; Streptococcaceae.
GACGAACGCUGGCGGCGUGCCUAAUACAUGCAAGUAGAACGCUGAAGGAGGAGCUUGCUUCUCUGGAUGAGUUGCGAACGGGUGAGUAACGCGUAGGUAACCUGCCUGGUAGCGGGGGAUAACUAUUGGAAACGAUAGCUAAUACCGCAUAACAGUAGAUAUUGCAUGAUAUCUGCUUGAAAGGUGCAAUUGCAUCACUACCAGAUGGACCUGCGUUGUAUUAGCUAGUUGGUGGGGUAACGGCUCACCAAGGCGACGAUACAUAGCCGACCUGAGAGGGUGAUCGGCCACACUGGGACUGAGACACGGCCCAGACUCCUACGGGAGGCAGCAGUAGGGAAUCUUCGGCAAUGGACGGAAGUCUGACCGAGCAACGCCGCGUGAGUGAAGAAGGUUUUCGGAUCGUAAAGCUCUGUUGUAAGAGAAGAACGAGUGUGAGAGUGGAAAGUUCACA